UCAAGCGAACAAGUGCAUGUGGUGGAUGCCUUGGCGAUCACAGGCGAUGAAGGACGCGGUAGCCUGCGAAAAGCUUCGGGGAGCUGGCAAACGAGCUUUGAUCCGGAGAUGUCCGAAUGGGGAAACCCGGCCCGUAUGGGUCAUCCCUUGCUGAAUACAUAGGCAAGGGAAGCGAACGCGGCGAACUGAAACAUCUAAGUAGCUGCAGGAACAGAAAUCAACCGAGAUUCCCAAAGUAGUGGCGAACGAAAUGGGAAGAGCCUUGUACUCUUUAGCAGUGGUGUUAGCAGAACGGGAUGGAAAGCCCGGCCAUAGCAGGUGAUAGCCCUGUAUGCGAAAACACGAUUGUGGAACUAGGUGUACGACAAGUAGGGCGGGACACGUGAAAUCCUGUCUGAAGAUGGGGGGACCAUCCUCCAAGGCUAAAUACUCGUGAUCGACCGAUAGUGAACCAGUACCGUGAGGGAAAGGCGAAAAGAACCCCGGGAGGGGAGUGAAAUAGAUCCUGAAACCGCAUGCAUACAAACAGUCGGAGCCUCGUAAGGGGUGACGGCGUACCUUUUGUAUAAUGGGUCAGCGACUUACAUUCAGUGGCAAGCUUAACCGAUUAGGGAAGGCGUAGCGAAAGCGAGUCCGAACAGGGCGUUGAGUCGCUGGGUGUAGACCCGAAACCAGAUGAUCUAUCCAUGGCCAGGUUGAAGGUGCGGUAACACGUACUGGAGGACCGAACCCACUAACGUUGAAAAGUUAGGGGAUGAGCUGUGGAUAGGGGUGAAAGGCUAAACAAAUCUGGAAAUAGCUGGUUCUCUCCGAAAACUAUUUAGGUAGUGCCUCGUGUCUCACCUUCGGGGGUAGAGCACUGUCAUGGUUGGGGGGUCUAUUGCUGAUUACCCCGCCAUAGCAAACUCCGAAUACCGAAGAGUGCAAUCACGGGAGACAGACAUCGGGUGCUAACGUCCGGUGUCAAGAGGGAAACAACCCAGACCGCCAGCUAAGGUCCCCAAAUAUGGCUAAGUGGGAAACGAAGUGGGAAGGCUAAAACAGUCAGGAGGUUGGCUUAGAAGCAGCCACCCUUUAAAGAAAGCGUAAUAGCUCACUGAUCGAGUCGUCCUGCGCGGAAGAUGUAACGGGGCUAAGCCAUAUACCGAAGCUGCGGACGCACGCAAGUGCGUGGUAGGAGAGCGUUCUGUAAGCCUGUGAAGGUGUCUUGUAAAGGAUGCUGGAGGUAUCAGAAGUGCGAAUGCUGACAUGAGUAGCGAUAAAGGGGGUGAAAGGCCCCCUCGCCGUAAGCCCAAGGUUUCCUACGCAACGUUCAUCGGCGUAGGGUGAGUCGGCCCCUAAGGCGAGGCAGAGAUGCGUAGCUGAUGGGAAGCAGGUUAAUAUUCCUGCACCGUCGUAUGAUGCGAUGGGGGGACGGAUCGCGGAAGGUUGUCCGGGUGUUGGAAGUCCCGGUCCCUGUAGUGGAGAAGGCGCUUAGGCAAAUCCGGGCGCGGAAUUCAAGGCUAUGGGGCGAGCGGCCUAGUGCUGCGAAGCAAUUGGAAGUGGUUCCAAGAAAAGCCUCUAAGCUUCAGUCAUACGAGACCGUACCGCAAACCGACACAGGUGGGCGAGAUGAGUAUUCUAAGGCGCUUGAGAGAACUCGGGAGAAGGAACUCGGCAAAUUGGUACCGUAACUUCGGGAUAAGGUACGCCCUGGUAGCUUGACUGGCCUGCGCCAGAAGGGUGAAGGGGUUGCAAUAAAAUGGUGGCUGCGACUGUUUAAUAAAAACACAGCACUCUGCAAACACGAAAGUGGACGUAUAGGGUGUGACGCCUGCCCGGUGCCGGAAGAUUAAAUGAUGGGGUGCAAGCUCUUGAUUGAAGUCCCGGUAAACGGCGGCCGUAACUAUAACGGUCCUAAGGUAGCGAAAUUCCUUGUCGGGUAAGUUCCGACCUGCACGAAUGGCGUAACGAUGGCCACACUGUCUCCUCCCGAGACUCAGCGAAGUUGAAGUGUUUGUGAUGAUGCAAUCUCCCCGCGGCUAGACGGAAAGACCCCAUGAACCUUUACUGUAGCUUUGCAUUGGACUUUGAACCGAUCUGUGUAGGAUAGGUGGGAGGCUUUGAAGCGUGGACGCUAGUUCACGUGGAGCCGUCCUUGAAAUACCACCCUGGUUUGUUUGAGGUUCUAACCUUGGCCCGUGAAUCCGGGUCGGGGACAGUGCAUGGUAGGCAGUUUGACUGGGGCGGUCUCCUCCCAAAGUGUAACGGAGGAGUUCGAAGGUACGCUUGGUACGGUCGGACAUCGUACCUAAAGUGCAAUGGCAAAAGCGUGCUUAACUGCGAGACCGACAAGUCGAGCAGGUGCGAAAGCAGGACAUAGUGAUCCGGUGGUUCUGAAUGGAAGGGCCAUCGCUCAACGGAUAAAAGGUACUCUGGGGAUAACAGGCUGAUACCGCCCAAGAGUUCAUAUCGACGGCGGUGUUUGGCACCUCGAUGUCGGCUCAUCUCAUCCUGGGGCUGUAGCCGGUCCCAAGGGUAUGGCUGUUCGCCAUUUAAAGAGGUACGUGAGCUGGGUUUAAAACGUCGUGAGACAGUUUGGUCCCUAUCUGCCGUGGGCGUUGGAAUCUUGACGGGGGCUGCUCCUAGUACGAGAGGACCGGAGUGGACGUACCGCUGGUGUACCUGUUGUCUCGCCAGAGGCAUCGCAGGGUAGCUAUGUACGGAAGAGAUAACCGCUGAAAGCAUCUAAGCGGGAAACUCGCCUGAAGAUGAGGAUUCCCUGGAGGCUUGACCUCCUUGAAGGGUCGUUCGAGACCAGGACGUUGAUAGGCUGGGUGUGGAAGCGCAGUAAUGCGUUAAGCUAACCAGUACUAAUUGCCCGUAAGGCUUGAUCCU
RNAcentral lists this ribosomal RNA (2877 nucleotides) under Cupriavidus taiwanensis. RNAcentral describes it as "bacterial LSU rRNA". It matches the Rfam family "Bacterial large subunit ribosomal RNA". The record is from RNAcentral. Lineage: Bacteria; Pseudomonadati; Pseudomonadota; Betaproteobacteria; Burkholderiales; Burkholderiaceae.